CCCCCCGCCAAUCUUCAGGGCCAGAGGCCUUCUCGGCCACACCCUCUCCUCCCAUGGAGGCGGCGGCUUCCGCCAUCUUGCCCUACCCUGCUGGUCUUGUUCCUACCAUCUCCAGCGCCAAAGGGCCUCCCAUCUUCAGCUCCAGAGGCCUUCUUGUUCCUACCAUCUCCAGCGCCACAGGGCCUCCCAUCUUCAGAGCCAGAGGCCUUCUCGGCCCCGCCCUCCCCUGCCCAGGGUCCUGCCCAUCUUCAGCACCAGAGGCCUUCUCGGCCACGCCCUCCCCUGCCCAGGGUCCCGCCCAUCUUCCGCGCCAGAGGCCUUCUCGGCCACGCCCUCCCCUGCCCAGGGUCCCGCCCAUCUUCCGCGCCAGAGGCCUUCUCGGCCACGCCCUCUACUGAGGUGGAGGCCGCGGCUUCCGCCAUCUUGCCCUACCCUGCUGAUCUUGUUCCUACCAUCUCCAGCGCCAGAGGGCCUCCCAUCUUCAGCGCCAGAGGGCCUUUUUGGCCGCACCCUACCCUACAGCGGCCCACCAUCUUCAGCACCAGAAAGCAGCAAGAGGAGUGCUUGGGGGCCAGAUAAAAAAUCUGAUUCCAACACCGUUGCGUCAGGAGGGAAACACGUCUUUCACGCCAUAUUUGCCAUCAAGAGACUGAACCUGUGUUCUAUCUUCUUCAGAAACACUAAUGAAGUUAGAGCCUUAAAUUAUGUUCAGACCUAAGAAUGUCAUGUUAUAUUGACUGUUAAUAUUUCACUGCUCUUCAUAAAAUCUUGAAUUGCAUUUGGGACACAAAAAAGGAUACUACGAUGUAGCUACCCUCUUGAACUAUGUGGCAUAUUAAAUUAUCA
Molecule: long non-coding RNA, 846 nt
Filed under: Fukomys damarensis (Damara mole-rat)
Lineage: Eukaryota; Metazoa; Chordata; Mammalia; Rodentia; Bathyergidae
Description: lncRNA (ENSFDAG00000021701.1)
Source: RNAcentral